RNAcentral lists this long non-coding RNA (722 nucleotides) under Panax ginseng (ginseng). RNAcentral's name for it is "long non-coding RNA (PGIN_LNC013511)". Lineage: Eukaryota; Viridiplantae; Streptophyta; Magnoliopsida; Apiales; Araliaceae. The record is from RNAcentral.
CAUCCUGCAGUACGACCUCUAGAAGGUCGCCGGUGGUGACGGUGGAGGUAGCGGUGAUAGGCUCAGUGGCCGGAAUAGUGUUGGAUUUGGCCAUUUAAAAAGAAUGUGAUGCAAAUAAGAAGUUUUGGAAGGGAGAUAAGCAAAAAUAGCACUCAAAUGACAGUACAGUUGAGGAAAAUGGUGCAGAUUGGGUAAGAGAUAAGCUUGCCGGAAAUCGCCUCGCCGGAGAAUUUGAAAGCAAAGAGUCAGUAAAAGUGAUAAUGAGGGGGGAAGGGGAGUUUUUAUAAGGAGCACGACACAGAACCCCAAGGCGGCUAUUAAAUACUUGAGGUGGGCUCAGGCGUGAAAAUGCGAGCAACGUUUCAAAUAUCAAGAAGUGACUGUACGGCUUCCACAGACAGUUCAUCAUUAUCUGUCAUGACCGUUCAAGUCCUGACCUUUCAAGUCUCCAAUCAUAAAUAUGUUAUGAUUAGAGACUGGGGGGCAAUGUUCGGGAGCGUUUUACCGACCCUCCAUUGGGCCGAAGAUUCAAUACCAGAAGGGCUGGAGAGACCGAUGGGCCGAAGCCCAUGAAGGUGUUGGAGGUGUUCGGGUCGGCAUUUGAGCCCUCCGGGACCAUAGCCGAACCUGGUCUUGUGAUGUUCGGGGUCGGGUCUUCGAGUUCUUUGGGCCGAAGCCCAGGUUAGAUUAUAGGACCGUUUGGGCCUGCACAGUGGGCUCUC